This is a non-coding RNA of Drosophila mojavensis, 45 nucleotides long. NCBI's taxonomy places the organism in Eukaryota, Metazoa, Arthropoda, Insecta, Diptera, Drosophilidae. The record is from Rfam.
CCAACGGCCCUUUUCAGGGCCACCAAAGCACUACUCAAAGAGUUU